GAAUAUUGGACAAUGGGGGGAACCCUGAUCCAGCCAUGCCGCGUGUGUGAAGAAGGCCUUUUGGUUGUAAAGCACUUUAAGCGAGGAGGAGGCUACCUGGAUUAAUACUUUAGGAUAGUGGACGUUACUCGCAGAAUAAGCACCGGCUAACUCUGUGCCAGCAGCCGCGGUAAUACAGAGGGUGCGAGCGUUAAUCGGAUUUACUGGGCGUAAAGCGUGCGUAGGCGGCCAAUUAAGUCAAAUGUGAAAUCCCCGAGCUUAACUUGGGAAUUGCAUUCGAUACUGGUUGGCUAGAGUAUGGGAGAGGAUGGUAGAAUUCCAGGUGUAGCGGUGAAAUGCGUAGAGAUCUGGAGGAAUACCGAUGGCGAAGGCAGCCAUCUGGCCUAAUACUGACGCUGAGGUACGAAAGCAUGGGGAGCAAACAGG
This 426-nucleotide ribosomal RNA is filed under the name uncultured bacterium. RNAcentral's name for it is "bacterial SSU rRNA". It matches the Rfam family "Bacterial small subunit ribosomal RNA", at positions 359 to 776 of the family's 1533-position model. The record is from RNAcentral.